AUUUUAUUGAAACUAGUGAAAGGACUUCUUUUAGUCACCAGUACUAACAAACAGACACCAUUUUUCUUCCUCAUUACAUUCUGACUAUCAUUUAGGACUAGCAAAGUAACAGAAAGGAAAGUUCUUGGUACAAAGUAGAAUUUAAGAGCAUAUCAAAUAUGAAAGACGGGUGAAUUAAAAUUAACAAAAGGAAAGCUACUAUUGCCAGACAGUUUUCCCCCCAGGAUGUAACAGUAAGCUUUUGGUAGCAUAUUCUGUUUUUUCUUAGCUGAACUAGAGGUCCUGUUCCUCCAGUGUUUCUAUCAUGGACUCAUAAAUCAACUGUAGGAAUAUAGGACUCCUGGCGGUUGCAAAGGCGUCUUUUUCUUAGGCUGAGGUUAGGAAGGAGCGUUUGUUUGGUUCUCUAAUACACCUGGUGCUUGCAGCAACAUCUUCUUCUGAGGCUGAGCGGAGGAAGAAAUGUUUGUUUGGUCCUCCAAUACACCUGGUCCUUGCACGGACAUCUUCUUAGGCUGAGGUGAGGAAGGAAUGUUUGUUUGGUCCUCCAGUACACCUGGUGCUUGCAGAGGCAUGUUCUUAGGCUGAGGCGAGGUAGGAAUGUUUCUUUUGUCCUCCGUUACGUUAGAAGGUGCAUAGCUCUGAGUUACGUUAGAAGGUGCAUAGCUCUGAGUUACAUUAGAAGGUGCAUUGCUCUGAGUCUUGCAAUCGCCUCCUAUAGGCUUUCCUUCAUUUUGGUGGGUUGAAUUGGAAAAUAGAGGUGGAGCAUACGGAACUUGUUCCCCCUUUGGCUUUUUCUUGGAGGAAAGAGAAUCUUCUUUAUCUUUUCCUUCCGACGGUGCUGCAAAUGGUUUAGGCCUUGCAAAUCCAGAGUGAUAUGGUUCGUGAUCAGGUUGUUUAGGUUCAGAGGUUUCAGGUUUGGGAAAAUUAUUCAUUGCAGAAUUCCCUUUAAACCAAGGAAAACAUCCCAUACUUUUGUUGAUAAUAGAUGUAUGCUUGUUUACUCUUCUUCUUUCUCCUUGUCUUCCUUUGGAUUUUACUUCCUCAAUCCCUUAGGCUCCUCCGUCCUUCUUCCUAACAUCUACUCCUCUAUCUUUUGAUCUCCUCUCUAUUUCGGCAGUAGCUCUAUACUGGUCUACUACUAUAUCUAUACUCUCUUUAAACUGCACUCUCUAUAUGAGACUUUGACCAUCAAGAUAGCGAAUAGCGUGGAAAUAAAGCAUAGAU
Molecule: long non-coding RNA, 1224 nt
Filed under: Aquilegia coerulea
Lineage: Eukaryota; Viridiplantae; Streptophyta; Magnoliopsida; Ranunculales; Ranunculaceae
Description: long non-coding RNA (ACOE_LNC001143)
Source: RNAcentral